RNAcentral lists this non-coding RNA (26 nucleotides) under Trypanosoma brucei brucei. The record is from RNAcentral. Lineage: Eukaryota; Euglenozoa; Kinetoplastea; Trypanosomatida; Trypanosomatidae.
AUAACAAUGCAGACUUUCAUGAUUGU